UUUUUUUUUUUUUUUUCCAAGCAAAUGCAGGAAAUUAUGGAGAAGUGCAGAUAUUAAUUAUAGACUUUCUCUUUAGCCUUUAAGCCUCCGAAUAAAAUAAUUUCCCAACAACUUUGGUAACUUGACGGAGUGGAUUUUGAAAUUGAGGUAAUGAUUAUAGUAAUUAGCCCACACAAUGACUAAUAAUAAAAGAAAUUCAAUUUCUUCCAUCAUAGAAUAUUUAAUUUCGAAUCAAAUAAGUGGUUAUGAGUCCCUCGGGAUCUAUUUAGGGUGCGUUCUUCAAUGUCCUUUUCCAUUUAUAUAUUUAUGGUUG
Molecule: unclassified non-coding RNA, 313 nt
Filed under: Hevea brasiliensis (rubber tree)
Lineage: Eukaryota; Viridiplantae; Streptophyta; Magnoliopsida; Malpighiales; Euphorbiaceae
Source: RNAcentral